GCCAGCAUGGCGCAGUGGUUUGAGUAUUGGACUGUGACUCUGGAGGCCAAGGUUCAAUUCCCACCUCUGCCA
Molecule: non-coding RNA, 72 nt
Organism: Phrynosoma platyrhinos (Desert horned lizard)
Lineage: Eukaryota; Metazoa; Chordata; Lepidosauria; Squamata; Phrynosomatidae
Source: the annotation of a GenBank genome assembly